GGGUUGUGAGGUUAAGCGACUAAGCGUACACGGUGGAUGCCCUGGCAGUCAGAGGCGAUGAAGGACGUGCUAAUCUGCGAAAAGCGUCGGUAAGGUGAUAUGAACCGUUACAGCCGGCGAUGUCCGAAUGGGGAAACCCAGUGCAAUUCGUUGCACUAUCGUUAACUGAAUACAUAGGUUAACGAGGCGAACCGGGGGAACUGAAACAUCUAAGUACCCCGAGGAAAAGAAAUCAACCGAGAUUCCCCCAGUAGCGGCGAGCGAACGGGGAGCAGCCCAGAGUCUGAAUCAGCUUGUGUGUUAGUGGAACGGUCUGGAAAGUCCGACGGUACAGGGUGAUAGUCCCGUACACCAAAAUGCACAGGCUGUGAACUCGAAGAGUAGGGCGGGACACGUGGUAUCCUGUCUGAAUAUGGGGGGACCAUCCUCCAAGGCUAAAUACUCCUGACUGACCGAUAGUGAACCAGUACCGUGAGGGAAAGGCGAAAAGAACCCCGGCGAGGGGAGUGAAAAAGAACCUGAAACCGUGUACGUACAAGCAGUGGGAGCACCUUCGGGUGUGACUGCGUACCUUUUGUAUAAUGGGUCAGCGACUUAUAUUCUGUAGCAAGGUUAACCGUAUAGGGGAGCCGCAGGGAAACCGAGUCUUAACUGGGCGUUAAGUUGCAGGGUAUAGACCCGAAACCCGGUGAUCUAGCCAUGGGCAGGUUGAAGGUUGGGUAACACUAACUGGAGGACCGAACCGACUAAUGUUGAAAAAUUAGCGGAUGACUUGUGGCUGGGGGUGAAAGGCCAAUCAAACCGGGAGAUAGCUGGUUCUCCCCGAAAGCUAUUUAGGUAGCGCCUCGUGAACUCAUCUUCGGGGGUAGAGCACUGUUUCGGCUAGGGGGUCAUCCCGACUUACCAACCCGAUGCAAACUACGAAUACCGAAGAAUGUUAUCACGGGAGACACACGGCGGGUGCUAACGUCCGUCGUGAAGAGGGAAACAACCCAGACCGCCAGCUAAGGUCCCAAAGUCAUGGUUAAGUGGGAAACGAUGUGGGAAGGCACAGACAGCCAGGAUGUUGGCUUAGAAGCAGCCAUCAUUUAAAGAAAGCGUAAUAGCUCACUGGUCGAGUCGGCCUGCGCGGAAGAUGUAACGGGGCUAAACCAUGCACCGAAGCUGCGGCAGCGACACUAUGUGUUGUUGGGUAGGGGAGCGUUCUGUAAGCCUGCGAAGGUGUGCUGUGAGGCAUGCUGGAGGUAUCAGAAGUGCGAAUGCUGACAUAAGUAACGAUAAAGCGGGUGAAAAGCCCGCUCGCCGGAAGACCAAGGGUUCCUGUCCAACGUUAAUCGGGGCAGGGUGAGUCGACCCCUAAGGCGAGGCCGAAAGGCGUAGUCGAUGGGAAACAGGUUAAUAUUCCUGUACUUGGUGUUACUGCGAAGGGGGGACGGAGAAGGCUAUGUUAGCCGGGCGACGGUUGUCCCGGUUUAAGCAUGUAGGCUGGUUGUCCAGGCAAAUCCGGAUAAUCAAGGCUGAGGUGUGAUGACGAGGCACUACGGUGCUGAAGUAACAAAUGCCCUGCUUCCAGGAAAAGCCUCUAAGCAUCAGGUAACAUUAAAUCGUACCCCAAACCGACACAGGUGGUCAGGUAGAGAAUACCAAGGCGCUUGAGAGAACUCGGGUGAAGGAACUAGGCAAAAUGGUGCCGUAACUUCGGGAGAAGGCACGCUGGUGUGUAGGUGAAGUCCCUGCGGAUGGAGCUGAGACCAGUCGAAGAUACCAGCUGGCUGCAACUGUUUAUUAAAAACACAGCACUGUGCAAACACGAAAGUGGACGUAUACGGUGUGACGCCUGCCCGGUGCCGGAAGGUUAAUUGAUGGGGUUAUCCGUAAGGAGAAGCUCUUGAUCGAAGCCCCGGUAAACGGCGGCCGUAACUAUAACGGUCCUAAGGUAGCGAAAUUCCUUGUCGGGUAAGUUCCGACCUGCACGAAUGGCGUAAUGAUGGCCAGGCUGUCUCCACCCGAGACUCAGUGAAAUUGAACUCGCUGUGAAGAUGCAGUGUACCCGCGGCAAGACGGAAAGACCCCGUGAACCUUUACUAUAGCUUGACACUGAACAUUGAGCCUUGAUGUGUAGGAUAGGUGGGAGGCUUUGAAGCGUGGACGCCAGUCUGCGUGGAGCCAACCUUGAAAUACCACCCUUUAAUGUUUGAUGUUCUAACGUUGGCCCCUUAUCGGGGUUGCGGACAGUGUCUGGUGGGUAGUUUGACUGGGGCGGUCUCCUCCCAAAGCGUAACGGAGGAGCACGAAGGUUAGCUAAUCCUGGUCGGACAUCAGGAGGUUAGUGCAAUGGCAUAAGCUAGCUUGACUGCGAGCGUGACGGCGCGAGCAGGUGCGAAAGCAGGUCAUAGUGAUCCGGUGGUUCUGAAUGGAAGGGCCAUCGCUCAACGGAUAAAAGGUACUCCGGGGAUAACAGGCUGAUACCGCCCAAGAGUUCAUAUCGACGGCGGUGUUUGGCACCUCGAUGUCGGCUCAUCACAUCCUGGGGCUGAAGUAGGUCCCAAGGGUAUGGCUGUUCGCCAUUUAAAGUGGUACGCGAGCUGGGUUUAGAACGUCGUGAGACAGUUCGGUCCCUAUCUGCCGUGGGCGCUGGAGAAUUGAGGGGGGCUGCUCCUAGUACGAGAGGACCGGAGUGGACGCAUCACUGGUGUUCGGGUUGUCAUGCCAAUGGCACUGCCCGGUAGCUAAAUGCGGAAGAGAUAAGUGCUGAAAGCAUCUAAGCACGAAACUUGCCCCGAGAUGAGUUCUCCCUGAGACUUUAAGUCUCCUGAAGGAACGUUGAAGACGACGACGUUGAUAGGCCGGGUGUGUAAGCGCAGCGAUGCGUUGAGCUAACCGGUACUAAUGAACCGUGAGGCUUAACCUUACAACGCCGAAG
This 2923-nucleotide ribosomal RNA is filed under the name Klebsiella pneumoniae. RNAcentral's name for it is "bacterial LSU rRNA". It matches the Rfam family "Bacterial large subunit ribosomal RNA". Lineage: Bacteria; Pseudomonadati; Pseudomonadota; Gammaproteobacteria; Enterobacterales; Enterobacteriaceae. The record is from RNAcentral.